This is a long non-coding RNA of Rattus norvegicus (Norway rat), 11148 nucleotides long. RefSeq lists it as uncharacterized. NCBI's taxonomy places the organism in Eukaryota, Metazoa, Chordata, Mammalia, Rodentia, Muridae. The record is from RefSeq and is a predicted model, not a curated record.
GGUGAAGGUAUGGGUUAAGAGGCCAUUGACGGCAAUGCCUAGGAAAGGAAGCUGACCAGGUUGGAGAAUCUUUUUCCUUCCUCUUUGUAUCUGAACAAGGACUGGAGGGGCUCCUUGAGAUGCAGGUCCUAGGCACUAGGGUGAGCCAUACACAGGCUGUAUCUCAGUUUCUGUAUUGUAUGAGGCCUUGGUCCUAUCCAUCCCUGUUCAUAGAACAGCUGUCACUGCAGCGGUAACAUCAGGCCACACAGAGUCCAAAGGGCCUCCUGUGCUAAAAGGCUUCCUAACAGCCAGACAGGACUGUCUCUCAAGUGUUUCCACUUAACCUUGGAUGAGCCAGGCAAGGCCUCUUCAACUGCCUACCUGCCUACUGCACUCUUCUAAGGAAAGGCACAUUACUCCAGGCCAUAUUGUCCUCUUUCCAUUAGGGCUGCCCCUAAAGGCCAGUAGCCCUGGAAACUACACUAUCUUCACUUGGCAGCAGAGCUACAGGAUGGCAAAGCCCAUCUCAUUGUGGUACCAUACAGUGGGCACUAGAGAAAGGUCAUGGACACGCCCUGUUGGGAAGGCAUCACCAUGGAUGCAUACCCCUUUGUCUAAGUCUCAUUGGCCCAGAGACCCACAGUCUAACUCCCUCCACAGGGAGCUCCUCCUACUGUAGGUCCUGCGAGUGCUUUCUGCUUCCUAUUCUUUAGUUCUCAAUAACACCUGCCUCUGCCUCACCCACAGCUGUAUCCCUAGGACCAACCCUGGCACCCAGCACAUGCUCACCCACAGCUGUAUCCCUAGGACCAACCCUGGCACCCAGCACAUGCUCAACAAGCAUCAGGUGACAACAGGGACAACUGCACCUUUUACUGCACCACUCUAAACCCAGAUCAAGAAAGAAUUAACCACUGUGAGGAAGAGGGUGGAAAAAAGAGCCACAGUAGGUGGGGACCAGUGGAAAAGCUGCUGAGCUCUUGGGUGGGGCUCUGAUAGGUUAGUUAGUGGAAUAUGGUACACACAAGGUCAAGGUUAGGCAAAGAUGAGGUUCCUUUUGGGGGUGAUGAAAUGUUCUGGAAUCAGUGAUAAGGGCUACUAAACCCUGUAAGUACAAAUGUUCCUCAAGUGAAGAUGGGGUUAUAUCCUAAAAUACAAACUGCAAUUUGAAAAUAUCAUGAUUAUGAAUGUACUCCACACACCUAACCUAUGAAUACUGACUGGAGUUCGGCAAAACAGUAUACUGCAGAGGACAAACUGCUUCCUGUCAAGAUCACAAGGCUAACUGGGAACUGCCCAGCAUCAAAGGGUAUAAAGUGUGGUGUACACCUGUGAUCUCAGCAUUUGGGAGAUACAGGUAGGAUCAAUUUGUGGUUCGGCAGAGGGCUCAGUGGGUAAAAUGCUUGCCAAUCACCAGGAGGACUUGAGUUUGGAUCUCCAGCAUCCAUGUAAAGUCAGGCACAGUGGGAUCCUGUGCUGGAGUAGAUAGGCAAAUCCAGGGUCCUUGUAGGCCAGUCAGUCUAGCUAAGAUGGUGAGCUCCUGGUUCUGAGACUCUAUCUCAAAAAGGUAGAGGGAGCAGGCAAGAUGGCUUCUUAGCAGGUAAAACGACUUGCCAUCAAACCUGGCAACCUGAGAUCAAUUUCCAGAACUCGAAAGGUGGAAGGACAGGACCAGCGAGCACUGUUGUCCUCUGAUCUUCAUGUACAUACACAUGUCAUGGCAUGCAUGCGUGCAACAAUGGAAGACAUGGUGUCUGAAGUACAAAAGCGGUCCUAGCAGUUCAGAUAGCAAGUCAGUGUCUUACCCUAUGCAAUUGGUUGUCACUUUUCUUAGUUUCUGCUUGACCAGCUUUCCAGUACCCUUGUUGAGGCUCCCUUUGCCUGCUGACCCUUUCUGGCCUCCUGGUCUUCUUUAAGCUGUAUCAUGUUUGGCACAUGAUAUUAUCACCUGCACCCCCUUGGCCUCCUCCAGGAUGGUCAUGACAUCACUCACACAGAUGCCAUCCCCACUGCUCCCUCACUUCAGGUACUGAAACACUCCCUAGGCCCUGCCUGAGCUUCUGCCUUGCAUCAGAACUGAGCUGCAGGAGGCACUGAGCUGUUGGAGGGAGGGAGUCAGAGCCACCCUUGCUAUGACUGUGGACACAAGAAUGAACAAAGCUUUGCCAGAAGCUUAUCACGACUGUCCUUUCAUGCACUGGAAUUUGGGUCCUGGUUGCUCUUGGAAUGGGUUCUAUUUGCUGAGUUGUGGGAAAUGGAUCUGUAGUGGAUGGAAAACAUGGCCCUACAUACCCCUGUCAGAUGGCAGGAGCAAAAGUGGGCCCCAUGUCAGACCAAGAACCAGAGGAUCCUAGAUGGGUUUGGGUUGCAGGCCUAGGUCUCUGUUCCCUGAAGGGAGUCUCUGGCAGGUUCACUGCUCCAGGAUUAGAAGAGACAGAGGGAAGAGGGUGUCGUGGGGAAGCAGAUGGCAGUUAUAUGGAGUUUUAAAAGAGUUAAAAAAACAAACAAACAAAAAAACCCACCCCACCAGUCUCUGGUACUCCAUUUCACAAGUAAAUUACUGGUCAGGAAUGGUAAACUCCAAGAUCUCGAACUUGGAGUUGGGGGACAGUAUGGGGUAACUCAUCCAAACUAAACAGCAAAGCAAGAAUCAAGCCAAGAGUUCCACAGUAACUAAACAGAGUUUCCACAGGGGUACUCCUCCUCCAAGGUGUUACCAAGAGAACUGCAGGCAUGUGUUCACAGACACAUCUAUCUGAACAUUCACACUAGCCCAACAAUGGAAAGGCUCCUCUUCUGAUAAACAGAAUGUGGCACAUCCACUCCACAGAAUGACCUGGUCAUAAGAAGAAAUGAGGAAAGGGAGCCAUGGCUCAGUGGGUAAAAGCACUUGCUGUAGAAACAUAAGCUGUAGGACACAUCCGUAAUGCCCGUGCUCCUAGAGUGAGAUAGAGACGGACAAAGCCUGGCAUAAGCACUUAUCAGAAAUAACAGAGGCCUGGACUCAUAAGGCAGAAGUAGGAACUGAGUCCUCAAAGUCCUCCUUGAUAAUGGCAUGUGCACACAUCGUACACACAAAUAAAUAAGGACACUGGACUCUGUAGCAACAGGAAGAGGCUUAUAAACAUUUGCUAAGUCAAAGAAGGUGGACACAAAGUCUACAAACUACAAUGAAUACAUGAAAUAUCUACAAGAGACAGAUCUGAAAAGAUGAGGUGCAUUUGUGGUUGCCAGUAGUUAGGAGCGAGACUUCUAAUGGGUGCAGCUAGUUUCUUGGGGGGAAGAGUAGGGAGAUGAAGUGUCCUGAAAUUAGGCAGCAAUGAUGGUUGUGCAACCUUAUGAAAACAUCUAAAAACAGCUGAGGUUUGGUAUAUGCAAGAAAAGCAUUAAGAACUAAGGCAAAGUUUCAAACUGGUAACCUAACUCCCAUUCGGUGCUGCUUGCCCCAGUGCCCACGUGGUCAUUCUUUCCAAUGCCCUAUGGCCUGACAACUGAUUCAGAUUCAGGAGAGAUGAUGAUGAAGAGAAGACCACCCUGAUCUCCUAGAACUCUGCUUCUUCAAGUCAUAUAGUCCUUCUCAGAGCUAUCUGUGUAGGUGGACAGGGUGACACACCCUCUGGGCAACAAGUCCUGCAGGUCAAAUGCUCAAUGAGAAAGUAUGACCCAGCAAUGGUAAUUGGGGUAUGGCACACAUUACACCAGGUCAGCUCUUGUAAGAGCCCUGGCACCAGUACAGGCACACAGGACACUAGAUACCCAACAGGCACCUCUUUCCAGUUGGAGGGAGGAAGAUCCAGUAGCAUGCAAGAAGAAUGGCCUGCACAAGAUCAUGUCUCCCGGAGCAGCUCAAGAACCAGGCUAUAAGGACAAGGAGAUCAGAGGAGCAAGCUGUAGUUGCUCCUGGCUAGAACUAACACUCUCAAUCACCACUGGUGUCACCUUAUACUCUACACGAGGAAUCUGAGAUUUGGAUAGUCCCAGCCCAAUAUAAAAAGCGUCUGCUUCAUACUCAGCUCUGGUCCAGAAGGCUAAAUCUGCUAAUAAAACUACUCAGGGCUUUGUGGUCAGACAUUCCAGGUUUCCAACACCUACUCUACAUUAGUUAAUGUUGUCUAACACAGCUCUCUUCUUCCUAUCACCUACUGAGCAGCUCCCAUGGCUCUGCUUUGACUAUAGGAGACAUAGGGCUAGACAGGACAGGCUCUGCCAGAGCCACAGGCUAUAGGAUGCAAAAACAUUUACUUGAAAGAGAACCUUUGGGUUUUAGGAACCAGCAACUUGGUCUGAGGGAAGCCAGGAGCCUUUGGAAGUACUUGAUGGUGCGUCCACCAAGGUCGUGUUGCACGCAUGCACGCACGCACGCACACAGGUUGGGGUACACAUUUGAAGCAUUUUCUUAACUAGCAUAAGCUGCUUAUAGAUACAGAGAACAAGGCAAUCCAUUCUUGUGGUGGUUUAGCUCCACAGAGGGAUGUGGGGCGGGAGGGGUAUUUAGUCAGAAAUCAAGCUGGAAGUCCCAAGCUUAUGGCCCAUACUAAAGAACCUGGGUUCCAUUUAGCAGGUAAUAGCAUAUUCCUCUGUAUGUACAAAUGGAGGCUUGAUCAUGCAAGGCUGCCCUGAAGACUGUGAGACAAGCUGGUCCUCUGUGUCAAAGGGUUCAACUGUCAACUGAAAAUAUCAGGUGAUGUGCACCUAUACAGAACAUAUAAAGGCUUUUCCUUGUCUUAUUUUCUAAACAUUGAGGCAUAACAGUCAUUGCUGCAGCAUUUAAUUAUAUUAGGUAUAACAUGUCUCUGAGAGAUGACUGAAAGUGCAUGGGAUAAUAUAUGUAGGCUAUAUGCAAAUACUGGCCCAUUUUAUAGAAUCCAGAGGAUCCCUGGAGCAAUCCCCUAUGGGUACCAAAGAACAAGGGGACUUCGUAUGCACAAUCACAGAAAGCAAGCACAAAGAGUCCAACAUCCAUCCUUAUUAUAAGACUUUUAAUUCCAAUAUCAAGCUGCUAAUGGCCCUGGCUUGGUGAUGCGGUGGGAAUAAUGGCUCAUCCUGAGGGCUUUACAUGAGAAUGUGCAGCACCUGUCUCUGCAUUGAUGCCUCCUGCCCACUACUGGACAGGACAGCAGAGCCAGGAAGGCUGUACAUUUUGCAUUCAGAACUCUCUUAUUCUAGAAAGUCUAAUAUCAAAUGGCAAACGAAUGCAAAUUACACUUCAAUUGCACAAUUAAAGCCGGAAAUGUUGUCUACAGGUUCCUCUGGUGCUCCCAGCCACUCUUCCUGUGCUUACAAAGCAAAUGAUUUGUUUUCAGUCCUAGGGACUGGCAAAAAGCCCACACCCCUGCUUGUGGCACCAUACAUACACAGGUGCACACACAAUGAACUGACCCUUCCUGCUCCUUAAACAGUCAGACCAGAAUUGAACAAGGGAAGGGACUGCUUGAGUGGAGGGCAGGAAUGCUGUACGGUGGAUACUGGGGAGGUACUGUGGGGCUGUAGUGGCUCUCUGACAUUCAGAAGUGAUCAAAUCCCAUUGCUAGCUGUUUUUCAGCUGAUCCACAGUCCCAGCUUGGAUCCUGAGCCUUUGAAGCAGCAAUCAAAACAAAGAUCUGGCCCAGGGAGGAGAGCUAUUGCAGAGAAAGGUCUAGUCAACAGGGUAUUGAGAAAGAUGAGCAGAGACCUGGCUUUCAGUCUCUAUGCCCAGGUCACGACUGUGGUGCUCUACACUUCCCUGGAGACCCUGCAGUCCUUGGAGUGGGGGCAGGAAGCUAUGGGACGAAGAUCUCUGCUCAAGGAUCCCGCAAGGCCAGAAGGAAAUGCCCCAGAACCACAGACAUGUGGCCAGCCUUGCUCCAUCCCCAGAAACCCAGAUCCAGUUCUUCUGCCAAUGAACAGGCUGUCUGGGCCCCUGCCCGAGGCUGGCCUGGAGUCCUGGCUCCAAGGAUGGAGACUAGCUCAAAGAAAGCCGGAGGAAGCCACACCAAUUAGUAUGCACUACACAGCAUUUUUGCAAAAUGAAUAUAAAACACUUGUGCUUUCUUUCUGUGUGAGAGAAAGAAGAGGGGAGGGAGAGGGAGGUUACAAGAAAGCAAUAUUCUGCAGGAACAGGAGCUCCUGCUGUUACCAUGGCAGUGGGUGGGGGUAGGAGUGGGGAGGGCCCAUCAGCUGGUCCUUGAUUCUGGAGUGCAAUGUGCUUGCUGCCUUGACUCCCUGAUGGAGUUCAAGGGUCAAGGUUGAAGACAAUGAAUGCAGACAGAAUCUGCCAAGGUGUCUCUAAGGGAAGCCUCAGGAGUUGGGGGAAAAGAGCUUCAUAUUUCCCAUGGGGUAGACAGCAGAGAGGAGAAAACUAGGGGAUUCCUCAGAUCGUCCCCUUUGCUGGAGACAACUUUAUAGUGUCAACUGGCAUUAUGCAUAGGAUAAAUGUAGAUAAUGACAUCUGUCACACUCAUUUUCUAGCAACCAAGGACUGUGCUGCUAUCUUUCACUGGUCUAAUGGGCAUCCACUACCACACCUGCCCUCUCCCUUCCAUGGCACUGUGGCUGCAAGCACGGCAGGUUCAAGUCCUCACACAGGGAGCCUGUUCUUGCCUCCAACCAAUAGUCUGGCUCUGAAGGCCCAGACAAUCACUUAGCAGAUACUGAUCUGCAGCACGGGAAGACAAUAAAAGAUGCAUAGUUUGGAAUAGCUGCUGCCAACAGGAUGGAUGGACAAAUGUCCCACUUUAAAGUCCCACUGAGCUUUAGGAAGCACUAGGAAGCUCUAGGGUUACACAGCAAGUACUAGCUCAGGCUUUAGAUGUCAACUGGUGCAGCCAUCCAGCUCCUCUGAAGGGGAACCUUUUUUUCUUUCUAUUGUCAGGAAAUCCCCAGACUGUGCUCUCCUCAGAGCUGGCUAGGAGGAAGCUGCAAGAAUGUUCCCGAGAGGCGAGAGAGGGAUGCUGCUCCAGACGCUGGAAGCUGCACUCUAGUCAGUGUCAACCAAUGCCAAGGAACAUCUGAACGGCUGAUUGUAAUGCCUUGUAGGUGAUCUGGGUCAGGUCAGGCUGCCCCUCAUGCUGUGAAGCAAAUCUGACAGGAAGGGCAGAGGCACCGAGGUCUGACUUUCACAGGAUCCUUGGGUUUUCUACUUCUGCCCACAUAGAAACUAGCUCCUUUUGUUAUAAGGGUAUAGCUCAGUAGCCAGGCCUCCUCCAUCCCUGACCACAUAUAACUUGGCUCUUGCUGCCCUGGGGCUUGGGGAAUCAGCCAGAGAAUUCACCCUAGAAGCCAGAAUGAAGGCCAAGAGCAGUGGGAAAUGCACCCACAGUAGCUGGCACUCGGGCUGGAGGCCUCUGCCCUAGACACAAGGUAAACAGGAGCUGCAGAAGGCAGCAGGCAGGCUGGCAUUCUGAACAGAGCUGUGGUCUACAUGGCAUGAGAACCCUGCCUUCCGCAGCUAGAUGAGCAGUGCCCCAAGGAGAAAGGCCAGUCUUUGGUAGGUGAGGCAUUCUGUGCAGGAGUGAACACAUUUUCUUUCCAAUCAGAAGAGUACUCAGGUUGCUUUUUAGGGUUUUGCAAAGCAAAGUACCUUUUAGCUCUACACAGCUCACAGGUAAUGUUGGUUAACACAGCACAUGUCCUAGGGGAUUUAGGCAGGUCCCCUGCUCCCCUCCCCCCAAAAUGGACUUGGGAGACUUUUUUCUACGGGUUUAUACAAAGGCCCAGUACUUAAUGUCAGUUCCACCGACCAAUCAUGUAGACUAGUGUAGAUGAUGCUAGUGGUUGCCCCCUUUGGAGUACAGCCUAGGGUAGGAUCAACUGAGAGACUAGACUGUGUUCCCUACUCCUAACCCCAUAGGCUUUCCUUCCUGUGAUCCAGCCAUCCAUGCUUACUGACCUGAGUUCCCAGCUCUUAGAGUUGCCAAGUCCGAGUGCACAUGCAUACAUAUCCUUAGAGUUCUAUCACUAGGUGAUGAGCUCCUGAACUGUGGUAACCAGGAGACGGGAAGCUUUCCUGACUACCCCCCAGAGCUCUGCUUAAACAUGGCUUACUGAUAAGUGUCCCACAGCACCUGGCCUUAGCGAUGGGGACAGGGCUGGAUGGGACCAGCACACUGUGCCAACUUGGUUGUUUGCCUUUUUGUAAAAUACUUCUGAGCAUCAGUGCUCAGUUAGACAGACUUCUCUUAAAGCCCACACUAAGCUGCCAUUAUAAAGAGUGAUAAAGGCUGUGUGGGGAUGAAUAUAAAGACAGAUGAGUUCUGGCCCAGUUUUUUUUUUUUUAAAGAUUUAUUCAUUUAUUAUAUAUAAGUACACUGUAGCUGUCUUCAGAUACACCAGAAGAGGGCAUCUGAUCUCUUUACAGAUGGUUAUGAGCCACCACGUGGUUGCUGGGAAUUGAACUCAGGACCUCUGGAAGAGCAGUCAGUGCUCUUAACCACUGAGCCAUCUCUCCAGCCCCUGGCCCAGUUUUAAUGUACAGAAGAAGGUAUACUGGGGACAGAGACAGAAAGAUGGAGAGAGAGAGAAGGAAGGGACAUGGAGAGAGGAGAGGUCAGGUCAGGUCAUAAAUGGUCUUUCAGGAAGCCAUCUAGAGAUCUUGACUAAAUUCCUUAACUUCUCUGGGUUCUUUGGAAUUAGUUUCCUCUUGGGUGAAAUGGAAAAGCCCUGAGUCCUCUUGAGAGGUGCACGGAAGGAUGCAGAUGGGUGCUGGGUCCAGGGUCCAUGACAGAGUCAGUAAGAGGAGUGAACUGUCACCUGUGGGGAAUGGUCUCAUUCUGGCCUGAGUGUCUUGUGAAGCUGCAGGAAACUGCCACUGAGAUUUAGCUUUCCAGAGGAAAACUGCCACAGUCUGGAGGAACAUGUGACUUCUAAAGAUGCCAGGAGCAGUGCAUGGGCAUGGGGUGAGCACAGGUCAUCUCCAGACCACAUAGAAGAGGGUGUGGGGGCUGAGAGCUGGGGGUUCCAGUUUCCACAGAUCUCAUGCUGGUCCACAGGAGUAGCUCCCACUCAGACAUGUGCAUCAGAGUCUUCUGGGAUUUUGUGAAGAAAAAAAAAAUGUCAGGGGCUUGGGGAUUUAGCUCAGUGGUAGAGUGCUAGCCCUGGGUUCGGUCCUCAGCUCCAAAAAAAAAAAAAAAAAAAAAAAAAGGGAAAAAAAUGUCAGUGUCCAGGCAACAAGGCCUAGCUUGAGGGUACAGUUGAGGGGAUCUGGGGAAGGCCCAAGCAGAGGAUUCUAAUGGUGGCCUGGUUUGGAUGGUGCUGUAGGGCUUUGAUGCCAAAUGGUUGGACUCUGGCCUCUGAGGGUGAUCACUUUAAAGUUCAAGGAGAGAUGGGCACUGGGGGCCUGCAGCAUGGGCAGGUAGCUUACCCAGCAUUUAAACAACUCAGUUCCCUAUAAUAGGAGAAAGCUGAACCCAAUGGAGCCCUCAGUAUUAUGUCUUCUUGUUGCUAGCAGGUCCCACCUCUGCAAAAACAAGCCUGCUUUUUUGCUGCCCUUCUCAGCCCACCCUCCACCUUCCAUCAGGGGCCAGGCAGUGGCCUUCUUUUCCACUUCACUCAUGCUUGGCCUUCUGUCCCACAGAAGUAUCUAGACAUAAACAUGCCAACCCUCGUGGCCCACAAAACUGGCUUUGUGCAGUGGGAUGACUACAUGCUUCCUGUGGUUACUGUGGGUCCCCUUCAGUCUAGGGAGGCUAAUGGAGAGAAUGAGAAUGUGAAAUCUAGACUGAGAAGAAGCAGAGGCCCUCUAGACAGACACAACUGUUGUCUUAUCCUUGGCAAAGACUUGUUGACAAGGACUCAAUUUAAAAGUGCUACAAUGACCCUAGGUGGCCCACAGUGGCUUUGGGUACUUUCGCUGGGCUGUGGUGUUGGAACAGGGGUCCUGGCUGUCCCUAGGAAGAAGAUGCUGGGAUUGUCUUUUUGCUGGCUGUUGCCACUUGGGAGAAGAGGGAAGUAGGAAGCUACAGGGUUAGCUGUGGCAGAGCAGGGACACACAGCAUAUAGUGCUGUGGAUAAGGCCCCUGUGGCAUAGUGGGAGAGAACCCCAGGCCCUCCAUCUUCCCAUAUGUAACAGGCUCCUGGCUAUAAGAAUGAAGCUCUUGGCUACUGCCAUUAGCUUAGAGUUGUGGAUGGAGACUCUAACCGUACUUAGCAUUGUGGAUGGAGAUUCUAGUCUUACUGACGGUCCGAUUUUAAAGAAACCUAUGGACUUGAGGCAGAAGGAGGUAUUGUUUUUGUUUUGGAGAGUAGACAGAAUGAAAACUGGAGUGAAAUAAAAAGCGAGGCAAGGAACUGAAAAGGAAAAGAAGCCCUAUUCUUAGGGGAGACUCUGCUUUAGAGCACACAGCAUUAGUAUUCCAGGGCGUGGAGUCAGGACCACACAGUCAGAGCUGGAAAGAACCGUGGACAAUCCAGUCCAACUUCAGCAUCUUAGAGAAGAAAACUGGUCCUGUGGAGAGCUGGGUGGUAUGGGACCAGAGGCUUCCUGAACUCUGAGAUCCUUGUGAUCUCAGCCCUUGGCCUCGCUGUUUAGAAGACCAGAUGGAGGACAGAGAGGGCUUCUGGUCUGGACCUGGAGUGAAAGAGCUGCCGACUCCCUGUCCCAUCUGAGUUGUCAGAAGUAUGUGAGCUCCUGCACUGGCCAGGCCUCCCACCUGACUGGUGAGAAAUCUACCACAGGACCACAGUGCUGCGUUCCCAGGUGUUUACUGCUCGGGCUCUGGCACAGCUGUAACCUGACACUCAACACAGGUCCAGCAAGGCAGCACAUUUUCUCUCCUGCCAGCCGAACCCACAGGAGGAGGCCCUGUGACCUGGUGUAAGGCUGUCUGCUAUUCCAUCAAGGGGUGAGCAAGCACACGCUAUGGCUAUGUGGUUCUCUUGCUCCAAACGUAGGCCCCAGACUCCACUCUGUCACCUUUAGACAUCUGCACAGGAUGUGCAUCCAUUUACUCUCUGACUAACUGAAAAGGAGGACAUCCCUCCGAGAUGGUCAGACACUGAGGCAGAGGUCAAGGAGAUAAGAACAGCAGGGCUUUCAAGGCAAAUUCUAUCUUCAAUCAGCAUAAAAAAUGGUUUUACCUCACAAACAAGCAAGGAAAUAAUGUCAAAAAGCAUUUGAAGGACUGUUUAAAGGCAAUGACUUGUGCAGUAGAAAUCUCCAGUAUGUAAUAAACUAGCAUUUUCUUGACUGUC